UGACCUGCAGCUCUGUCACUUUGCAGCUCUCACUUCUUCCUGCUCAUGAUCUGCUUGGAAAUCCAGUUCAUUCCAUCCUGAGGGGAAGAGAGCUGCAGGUGCUGCUGUCACCAGGUCCUGCUUGUUGGCAAAUACGAGCAGUGGGACCCCCAUCAGAGAUUCCUCCUCAGUGAGCUCCGCCAGCUCCUGCCAAGAGAGAACCCCUUCCCAAGAAUGCUGCUGCUCUCACAGAGCUGUGUUCCUCUCUCAGGUGCUGGUGAGUCUCAAUUUGCCAUGAGGUCUCUACAACCCAAGGGGGAGAUGGGAACCCUUGAAGCUACAUCUGCCCUGAGGAGAACUGGAGCUGCACUCAGCACAGCCCAAGAGAACACUCCUGGCACCCAGAGCACCUUGGGCAAAGGGCAGCUGCUAACAGCCCACACUGUCUGGUGCCCACGCCUGUGUUCCUGGCAGAAUCUGGCGUCAGCAUGGCCUCAGCUGACACUGUCUCACCUUCCAUUCUUUGCUUUGCUUUCCAGCUUUUACAUCUCCCAGUUCACUACCUGAGCAAAUGGCUUUCUUACGUGGCCGUAUCAGAGACAGGCACCCUGUGUCAGAUGUCCCUGGGGCAUCAUCCACAACUAGGGUAGGGUGGGCAGAGCUGCUUGGGACAGGUCUGCUGUGGGGUGGGACAGAUCUGCGUGCUGAGGCCCUGGGCAUGAGCCCUUCCCACACAGCUUAGGGAACAACUCAACCCCCAUGAGGAAAGCCCACAGAAAACAGCCUUGUUCCCCACUUCUGUGCCCAGGACCUGACCACCACCCCUUGCCCAGGCCGUUCAUACCUGCCCUGUCUCCUCAAAGCGCUUCUGGUCUGCACUGUCGAUGACAUAAAUCUGCCAGGGGGACAAAAGGAACAGCAGGCAGCCCCUCCUCACACAUCACACAGCCCUCUGCUUGCUGCAGGGCUCUGCUAGGGCAUGGCCCCUGGCUCACCAGCAGGUCAGUGCUGCUCAGGUACUUCCUCCAGUAAGGUCGGACGGCGCGCUGCCCGCCGAUGUCCCAGAUGUUCAGCUUGAAGCCAUGCGAGUGGACGCUCUUGACGUUGAACCCCUGUGAGGGGAAGCAAACUCUGGCAUCACACCAGGGGAAGAAAGACAGGACCCAUUGCCCUCCCACUGCGCGUGCUUCAGAGCAGCCUGUACCUGGGUGGGAGUGAUGGUGCUGACCUCCUCAGAUGCCAGGCGCUUCAGCAGCGUGGUCUUGCCUGCAUUGUCCAGCCCCAGCAGCACGAUGCGGAGCUCCUGCCCUGGGGAACUGCUCAGGCUCUGGAUGACAGAGAGCAGCCCCCGAGGAUGCAGGGAGCUGGGAGAGUCCUGCAGGGUGCUGGGUUGCUGCAGAGCACCCUCAUUUUGCAGUGGGGAGCUGGGUGCCCUGUCGUCCAUGGGUGCCCUGUGUCUGUGGCCUGAGCAAAGUCUGGGACUUUGUUCCAAGGUGCACAGGUUCAGGGUGGCCCCACCGAAGAUCCGCCCAGUCUGUCCCCUUCCCUGGGAGCCCAGGCAGCUCCUGGCAGGCUGAGGGACAAGCCCUGGUGCUGCGCAGCCAGCUGGGCACUGAUGCCAGUGCAGCUGCUCGGGGCAGGAGGGAUGUAGCCAGAUCCUCCCCCCCACCUCUUGCACAUCACCCACGGUCUGGGAAUGGCUGCAGCUCACAGCACACCCAGGGAGAGGCUGGGGGCUCAUCCCUGGGGCACUGGCAUCUGCGUGACUGGCACACUCUCUGUCCCUGGGGGAGGAAGAGGAUUAUGGCCUCCUGAAUUAGCUACUGUUUCUCCAUUUACUCACAGCAUUAAGUAAUGCCCUCAGUAAAUCCCCCAGCCAGCUGUCACCCAUCCGCUACCUCUUCCUGCUCCUGACCCCAGGGCUAAAAUGGGGGGCACAGAGCAUCCCUCUCCCCAACUCAUGGGGAUGCUAG
Tympanuchus pallidicinctus (lesser prairie-chicken) is the source of this 1952-nucleotide long non-coding RNA. RefSeq lists it as uncharacterized. The record is from RefSeq and is a predicted model, not a curated record. Lineage: Eukaryota; Metazoa; Chordata; Aves; Galliformes; Phasianidae. The transcript has 2 exons.